GUCACAGUAGCACAGUGGUUAGUGCACAGUCCCGAAUACAUUUAGACGCGGGUUCGAAUCCCGCCUGAGAUG
Molecule: non-coding RNA, 72 nt
Organism: Nippostrongylus brasiliensis
Lineage: Eukaryota; Metazoa; Nematoda; Chromadorea; Rhabditida; Heligmosomidae
Source: Rfam